Molecule: long non-coding RNA, 1719 nt
Filed under: Anas platyrhynchos platyrhynchos (common mallard)
Lineage: Eukaryota; Metazoa; Chordata; Aves; Anseriformes; Anatidae
Description: lncRNA (ENSAPLG00000024777.1)
Source: RNAcentral
AAUUUACCAGCCAGCGCUGGUGCAUUCGACCUCUGCGCAACGAGAUACAAUUGGUGAGCGCCGCUCUUGUUGGGCUCUGGCCAGCUCUUCGGGCAGCCGGGGGUGUCUGUCGGGAGCCCCCCGGCCGGUUCCCGGGAGGGAUGCACGGGAGGAGUCCCGGGGUCCCGGGGGACUCCUCGGCCGCUCUCCGUGGUGCUGCAGCCGCCGCCCGCGGUGCCUCCUGCGGGAGGGCAGGAUCCCCUUCCCCGGGAGCACGGCCGGCCGUGCCGCUAACUCCUCCCUUCGGAUGCAAGGGCUGCACCGCCACAAGCCAUCCUCUCGCCGCCCCCCUCCUUCUCCUUUCUCCCGUUUCGACAGAGCGAGCGGGCUUGCUCUGCCUGCGCGGCGGCGGCUGCCCACCGCGGACCCCGUGGGCUUGGGGCGGGUGCUUUAAUUUUGGCAGGACCUGCCCGCCGCCCUUCCCGGAUAAACUUGGGCCGGCGCCCCCCGGCACCGCGUUUUGGGGCUGGUGGGCUCCCGGCUGCCUGCGGGGAUGCCCAGCAUCCAAUAAUGCAAUGGCUGGAAGACCACAACGUGUCAGAUUAACUGGGUGGACACAUUGGAUAUUAGCAACAAUUCUGCUGCUGUGGAGUUACCAGAUCAGUGGACAAGGUUGGUUCCAUCACAUGGGUUUGAUGCCUGUGAUUUCACCUGCAGCUGGACAUAGUAUAAGAGCAUAGUGAUCUUCUGACUGCAGUUGUGUUGUUUGGUCCGUUGCGGAACACCUUGUCCUCAAGUGCCCAGCACAGGGGGUGUAUGUUGCUGGGCAUGUAUGCAGAGGAAAAGAGAGAAAAACAUGGAACAAACCAAGCUUUGAGACAAUGCUGACAAGACUGUGGCUUGGCUUGUGCCCACGACACUUGCAUCAGGAAAAGCUGGCCAAAGGGCAGCAGAGGAAGACAACCAUGAAGUAAUGACCCUCGUGGAACUGGUGCAGCCCCCAGCUCAGAAGGGGCACAUACAUGCACGUUUUUAGACAUGUUACCAAGGAGGAGCCCAGUGGCCUUUAUGACAUGUGUCGGUCCCAUGUGUCAGAAUAGCUACCAGGUCAGAGGGGAUAAAACUGGGACACCCCAGAGGAGAGGGAGACACACUACUGAGGACAACGUUGCCUCAACAAGGACGCCUGUUUAAGCAGUGUGCCUGCUGACUCCUUCCUCCUGGAAAACAAUGACUGGGGAAAGCACUGCACUUCCUUGUUGGUACCCUUGUCAUCGCCCUGGGGUCAGUAUAGAAUCAUGUAUGGAAGUAGCUCACAAUAUCAUGUGACUAUCAAGUCAUGAUUGCUGAAGUUGAGGAGUAUAUAACUGGCAUGGAUAUAGUCCAAAGAGGUGUACUAGAAAUAGGGUGCACCUUUUGGGCAUGUGGCACCACACGGUGGCUACACGUCCAAGCAGUUCAAGUAGGGAAGGCAUUUGAGGAGGCUCACAUUCUGGUUGCUGCUGAGGUAGUUGUGCAAAGCCAGUACAAAAUUCCAGGAGGAGAUGAGGUUACACAGCCUGAAACGUGGCUUGUUAUGGAAGGAGACAAUGGCAGUAGUCAGCUGGCAGAGUUGAUCGUGACUUGGCAGGUAAUUACUGCUACCCCAACCACAUUUGCUAUUUAAACACAGAUUAAUGGGUCUAUUGUGUUAAGGGUGUAGCCUUAACAGAGGUGGCUAGUUACAUAUGUUAUGUGCUA